Molecule: long non-coding RNA, 314 nt
Filed under: Pan troglodytes (chimpanzee)
Lineage: Eukaryota; Metazoa; Chordata; Mammalia; Primates; Hominidae
Description: long non-coding RNA NONPTRT000392
Source: RNAcentral
AGAAGAUUUGAUGUGAGAAUCAUUCAAAAGCAAAUAAAAUAGGAAAAAGCUGAUGAAUAGCAAACAGGUGACAUAGACCUAUAUGAAGCUUUGGCAGUUCAAAGGGUCAGAGAGACCCCUCAAAGAAAGAUACUGGCCUUGUUGAACAGCUGGACUGACAGGCCCAAGUGAAUGAACACCCAUGCCCCUGGAAACUGCAUCAGAGGAGAAAACAGAGAAACUUCCUUUGAGCCUGACUGGGUAUUCAGUGACCAUCAGAUCAUUUCAUUUGACCAUAAGCUUCUUGAGUACAAGAACUUACUCAUCUUUAUAUC